This is a long non-coding RNA of Mesocricetus auratus (golden hamster), 690 nucleotides long. RefSeq lists it as uncharacterized. The record is from RefSeq and is a predicted model, not a curated record. The transcript has 4 exons. Lineage: Eukaryota; Metazoa; Chordata; Mammalia; Rodentia; Cricetidae.
GGUCACAGUCUGAUGGUGAGGCUGGUCAAGAACAUCUGAGGUCAUAGUCUGAUGGUCAGGCCGGACAAGAGCAUCUGAGGUCAUAGUCUGAUGGUGAGCUGGACAAGAGCAUCUGAGGUCAUAGUCUGAUGGUGAGGCCAGACAAGAGCAUCCAAGGUCAUAGUCUCAUGGAUGCAGCCUGGUCCUGAUGCUAUCUCUAUAACGUGCCAUGAGCCAGAGAUCCUGGCAGCAUGUGCAGUGAAGACCGACAACCCACACAAGCCUGCACACUGUAGAAGGCCUGGACCUCAUCGCUGGCGUAUCUGACCCGACAGCUAGGAAGGGGCUGAAAGUACGAGAAAUGGGAUUGCCCUGCGCAGGAGAGGUCAAAGCACAGAUGUCAAUUGACGGAGCUCAUGAGCUGGAUGGAAAGACUGAAAAGGGGUCUUGGAAAGCGUGCCAGGAGUGGACGCUGUACAGUAUGGUGGCCUGCAAAGGCAGCCCUUCCAUUUACGUUUCAGACUCCAAGUCAGCCGCGUCAGAGUUUGAACCGGAGCUACAGGGGAUAAUGGGUCAGAUGCAAUUAGCGGCCGGGAGACCCGCACACUGCGAUCUUAUUUAUUUAUUUAGUUAGUUUGCCCAUCAAACUCCAAGAAUGCUAGUGCUUAAAAGCAACCAAACAAUUGCUCUCUUGUACUGAAAUAAAGUCCA